CCUCCUCAUAAUCCUUCUCAAGUGCAGCCAUUUCCUUCUCGCCUUACAAGACUCUCCUUCCUCUAUUAGCUCACCCACAUACCAGUGAAAAAAGGCACGCUUGGCAUAUAUCAGGUCAAACUUGUGUUCCAAGUGAGCCCAGGCCUCAGCAAUGGAUGUGGUUUUGCUCAGUAUGCACACAGCUCACUCACUAUACUUUGGCCAGAUCCCCACAAGGUACCACAGUGGAAAGCUGGUAAUUAAUGCCAACUUUUAAGUGAAUGGGGCACCAGUCCACAAAGUGGAUGGCACACUUGCCCUUGGUGGUGGCAAUGGCAGCAUGACAUCUUUGGAAACUACCUUGCCAUGGUACAGUCGGCAGCAAGCCAUGGAUUUACCAUGACAAGGGUCACAUUUUACCAUCUGAUUGGCUGGCUCAAAGCAUGCAUUUGUGAUCUCUGCAAUUGGAAGCUGUUCAUGGUAGGCUUUCUCAGCAGAAAUGACAGGGGCAUAUGUGGCUAGAGAGAAGUAGAUGCAGGGUAGGGCACCAGCUUUAUCUGGAUUUCUGGCAGGUCAACAUUUAGGGCUCCAUCAACUCUGAGGGAAGAAGAGAUGGAGGACACAAUUCGACCUAUCAACCUAUUCAGAUUAGUGUAGGUUGGGAGUUCAAUAUUGAGGUUUCUAUGGCAGAUGUCAUGGAUGGCCUCAUUGUCUACAAGGAAGGCACAAUCAGAGUGCUCCAGGGUAGUGUGGGGAGUGAGGAUGGAGUUGUAGAGCUUAACAGCUAUGGAAACAAGGGGGGCUGGGUAAAUGGAGAACUCCAGCUUGGACUUCUUGUCAUAAUCGACAGAGAGAUGUUCCAUUAGCAGGGAGGUGAA
Molecule: long non-coding RNA, 857 nt
Filed under: Lynx pardinus (Iberian lynx)
Lineage: Eukaryota; Metazoa; Chordata; Mammalia; Carnivora; Felidae
Source: RNAcentral